Long non-coding RNA from Acanthochromis polyacanthus (spiny chromis), 2340 nucleotides. RefSeq lists it as uncharacterized. The transcript has 3 exons. NCBI's taxonomy places the organism in Eukaryota, Metazoa, Chordata, Actinopteri, Pomacentridae. The record is from RefSeq and is a predicted model, not a curated record.
UGUAUUUCAUUUGGAUUUGAAGAAGCUUUGAAGACGUUUCCUGAUUCCGGAGGAGAAGACAGCAGCUUUGUACCUUUGCGACAGUUUUCAAAAGAAGACGUAGUUGAAGAUGUUCUCCAGCAGGACCAGGAAGACCACGACCAAGCAGCCUUGAGAGCUUAGGCAUCAUCUCCUUCAGAUCCACCAACCACUGGAACACAUCUCCAAAGUUCUCUGAAGCUCAGCUUCCCCUCAGAAGAAGUGCCGCCAGAUGAAGGAGCCUUUUGAGAGGCAGCUGGCAUCGUGAUUGGACGGUACUUUGGUCUGUUCCAAUCCAGCUUCAGCUCCAGAGACGGCAGGCGGGACGAGUCCACGGAGGCCGUAUGGACGAAGGCAUGCAGCUGAGUACAAUCCAGAAAACACCAGAGGAGGAGUGCAGCGGCCCAGGGCCAGAACAAACAGAGUAGCAUAGUAUGUCUCUGAGAAAAUAUCAUAGUAUAGCCUUUGGGAUGAAAAAACACCAUCAUAUACAUUGUAUAUUGUACAAAUAACAAGUCAAAGGAAAGAGACAUACAUUGUAGAGUUAUAGUAAUUGAGGGCUGACUGAUUUACUGAUUAUCAAUAUUUUUUACUGAUUUACGGUAAUAAAUCGAUUUAAAAGUGGCACUACGUUGGCUCUGAACCUUUAUCUACCUGUGGUCGCUCUGUCUUCUGUAGUGAUUUGAUUGGUUAUAUGUCACAAAUAAAACUCCUUUAACUUAACAUCUGUAAACAAAACAAAAACGUAUUAUCAAAGUUUUCUGUUAGAGUUUGUGUUCUUCUAAAUUUAACUCUGAAAAUGAAUAUCUACUCCAAAUGUCUCACUAAUAAUCAUUAUCAGCCUUAAAAACCCACAAAACACCCCUCUAUACUCGACCAUACUUAGUACAGUCUGGUUCUCCCUUCUAUAAAUCUGCCUGGAAUCUUCCACUUCCUGUUUGUCAAAAUGGCCUUCCAGCUGGACAGGUUUUGUAGGAGCUCAUGCAACAAACAUUUUGGGUAACUGCACUUUAAUAUGGAUGGAUGACACUGAAUUAGAGUCUGUUUUAAUGAGACUGAGUUCAGAUGUGUAGGUCUGUCAUUAAAUAGGAAAUUAUGUCUCAGAAUUCACAGAGAAACGUCAGAAAUGUUUGCUAGGUUAGCGUCCCACAUGUUCUUUGGCUCAGCUAAAGCUAACUCUCUCCAACUUCUGGAUCUCUGGAGUUGCUUGUUGUUAAAAUAUCUUGCUAGAGGUGCUGAAGCUCAAAAAGUCUGAGAUGUUUGUUCAAAAUAAGCUCAUUCUCAAGUCUUAUCUGAACUGUCCUCUUUUGUUUGAACUUUCCCUAAACUUAGGAGUUAAUGACAGAGCAGCACAUUCAGAUUCAGUCUCAUUUAUGUAGAGAUUAAACUUCAGUGUCAUUCAUUGAUGUUAAAGUGGAGUUUUUCAAAUGUUUGUUGCACAUGCUCCCGACCAAACCAGUCCAGGUGGAAGACGAUGUGAAGAGAGGCUCCAGAGCUCCGUGACUAUUAUUGGAAAGGUAAUAACAGACUGACACUCACAACACUGCAAAUAUAUCAUGGCAACGACAAAUAUACAUUCCAACAAUAUCAGCAGUACUCACUUAUUUUGCCACUCAGAGGGUUAAAAAAAAGUCUUAUUUAAUAAAUAAAUAAUGUCAAAAUAAGACUUUCUCCAGAGUGUACCCAUCUCAGAGUGUAUCCUUCCGUUGUCUCCAGGAGAUCAGAUAUUAUGUUCUGUAAAUAAGUUAUUGUGGCAUUUUAUAAUAAUGCCAGGUGGGGAGUGUACUGUAACUUUCACUUAUUUGUUUGAACCACCAGGACCUCCGGGGGCAUAAUUGUCUUAGGCGUUGUUUGCAGUUAGUGAUCAUAUGAUGCUGCCUCAGCCAAUGAUCGGCUUGACAGGAAGUGCUAACAGCUUCAUUAGCACGAGAAUGCUAGCCUCUUUUCACCGUCACCGUCUGCCAGUGCGUUCGUAACCCUCUGAGUGGAAAAAUAAGUGAGUAAAGAUGCCGAUGAUAUUGUUGGAACGUAUAUUUGUAGUUGCCAUGAUAUAUUUGCGGUGUUGUGUCAGUCUGUUAUUACAUUUACAAUAAUAGUCACGGUUUCAGGCUUUGGGGUAGUUUAGCUUUAGCUUUGAUUCAUCUUACGUACCUUAUUGCUUACCAGUCACCUGCAGCAGUUUUCUUAUUUAAAUUAAUCCAUACUUACCUGUAACAGUGAUGUGUUUGAAGUCUUAAGCAGUUUGUACUGUUAUUGACCAGCGCAUUCUGUAUGUUUAUUUCAGUUUCACACUUCUCUGUAUUAAAAUCCAUUCAACUACCA